UAGACAACAGACUGUGAACAAGAGUGAGC
Molecule: non-coding RNA, 29 nt
Filed under: Rattus norvegicus (Norway rat)
Lineage: Eukaryota; Metazoa; Chordata; Mammalia; Rodentia; Muridae
Source: RNAcentral